Molecule: long non-coding RNA, 675 nt
Organism: Pyrus x bretschneideri (Chinese white pear)
Lineage: Eukaryota; Viridiplantae; Streptophyta; Magnoliopsida; Rosales; Rosaceae
Exons: 2
Source: RefSeq, a predicted model, not a curated record
UUGGACCCACACCUCUCUCCCUUCUACCCCGGUUCCUCUUCUCACGUUCUCAUUCUGCUCUCAGUCAAACUCCCUCACUUCUCUCACAGUUAUUUCUCCCUCUGUCCCUUAUCCUUCUCUUCUCUCUCUUGGCUCGCUUCUCCCCGAGCAACACAGCCACCUCGUUUCGAACACCAAAUCACCACCAUCCUCGUCCCAACCUCACACCAAACACAAAACUAGAACCCAGAGUCCCAGACCAUAGACUCGAACCUCAAAUCGGAGAACCAGAGCUUCGUCUCGAAUCCGAGAGAGGUUUCUGGAGAUUUUCCGACAAAUCUCGUCGUCUUGGACGAGAUUGACACCACAAACGAACUCCCCAUAGUCCCAUUCAGGGAUUCAUAGGGACCUAAACUGGCCUUUCAGGCCAAUUUCCGGCCAUCCCUUGGCCUCGAUUUUGGCAAAAUCAAACUCCUGUUAAUCCCAGCCUGAUUUUGACAUAUUGUGUAUUACAAAUGGUUGAGAUUUAAUGCUGAUCUGCUUUUGUUUCGAAUCCAAAUAGGUAUUGAUUUUAAUUUUUGUUUUCGUUGGUGUGUAAUUUGAGAUGGAAUGUGGAAGUGGUUUGAAAUUAUGGUGUAUUUAUUUUGGUGUCUGAUCACUAUACUUAAAUUACAUGACUCUAGAUUUAACAUUCUA